Molecule: microRNA precursor, 86 nt
Filed under: Notamacropus eugenii (tammar wallaby)
Lineage: Eukaryota; Metazoa; Chordata; Mammalia; Diprotodontia; Macropodidae
Description: miRNA (ENSMEUG00000017475.1)
Source: RNAcentral
UAUAUGUGUGUAUGCAUAUGUGUGUGUAUAUAUACGUACACACACACACACACACACACACACACACACACACACACACACACACA